This 873-nucleotide ribosomal RNA is filed under the name uncultured bacterium. Its description in RNAcentral is "bacterial SSU rRNA". It matches the Rfam family "Bacterial small subunit ribosomal RNA", at positions 28 to 896 of the family's 1533-position model. The record is from RNAcentral.
AACGAACGCUGGCGGCGCGUCUUAAGCAUGCAAGUCGGACGGCAAGGGUAGCAAUACCCCUAGAGUGGCGGACUGGUGAGUAACACGUGGGUGACCUACCCUUGAGUUGGGGAUAGCCAUUAGAAAUAGUGGAUAAUACCGAAUACGAUCGCGACACUUUGGUGAUGCGAUGAAAGGAGCUACGGCUCCACUCGAGGAUGGGCCCGCGUCCCAUUAGCUAGUUGGUGAGGUAACGGCCCACCAAGGCGACGAUGGGUAUCCGGCCUGAGAGGGUGUACGGACACAUUGGGACUGAGAUACGGCCCAAACUCCUACGGGAGGCAGCAGCUAAGAAUAUUCCGCAAUGGACGAAAGUCUGACGGAGCGACGCCGCGUGGAUGAAGAAGGCCGAAAGGUUGUAAAAUCCUUUUGCUGAUGAAGAAUAAGUGGAGUAGGGAAUGAUUCCAUGAUGACAUUAGUCGGUGAAUAAGCCCCGGCUAACUACGUGCCAGCAGCCGCGGUAACACGUAGGGGGCAAGCGUUGUUCGGAAUUAUUGGGCGUAAAGGGCAUGUAGGCGGUUUUGUAAGCCUGGUGUGAAAUCCUGCAGCUUAACUGUAGAAUUGCAUUGGGUACUGCAAGACUUGAAUCACAGAGGGGAAACUAGAAUUCCAGGUGUAGGGGUGGAAUCUGUAGAUAUCUGGAAGAAUACCGGUGGCGAAGGCGGGUUUCUAGCUGAUGAUUGACGCUGAGGUGCGAAAGUGCGGGGAGCAAACAGGAUUAGAUACCCUGGUAGUCCGCACCGUAAACGAUGUACACUAGGUAUCGGGGCAUGAGUCUCGGUGCCAAAGCUAACGUGUUAAGUGUACCGCCUGGGAAGUAUGCUCGCAAGGGUG